GACGAACGCUGGCGGCGUGCUUAACACAUGCAAGUCGAACGGAAAGGCCCUGCUUUUGUGGGUUGCUCGAGUGGCGAACGGGUGAGUAACACGUGAGUAACCUGCCCUUGACUUUGGGAUAACUUCAGGAAACUGGGCCUAAUACCGGAUAGGAGCUCCUGCUGCAUGGUGGGGGUUGGAAAGUUUCGGCGGUUGGGGAUGGACUCGCGGCUUAUCAGCUUGUUGGUGGGGUAGUGGCUUACCAAGGCUUUGACGGGUAGCCGGCCUGAGAGGGUGACCGGCCACAUUGGGACUGAGAUACGGCCCAGACUCCUACGGGAGGCAGCAGUGGGGAAUAUUGCACAAUGGGCGGAAGCCUGAUGCAGCAACGCCGCGUGCGGGAUGACGGCCUUCGGGUUGUAAACCGCUUUCGCCUGUGACGAAGCGUGAGUGACGGUAAUGGGUAAAGAAGCACCGGCUAACUACGUG
RNAcentral lists this ribosomal RNA (468 nucleotides) under uncultured bacterium. RNAcentral describes it as "partial 16S ribosomal RNA". It matches the Rfam family "Bacterial small subunit ribosomal RNA", at positions 28 to 507 of the family's 1533-position model. The record is from RNAcentral.